AUGGACAGCUGGAGGGAGGAGGAACAGCCUGUGCUCCAGUAUCUGGAAGCCAGCCAAGUCGGGACAUGCCCCCCAACGGAGCACAUCACAGCAGGGGAACAGACCGGAAGACCCCUCGACACGGAGGACCUGGAAGUUAUGGCUAUGAGUUGAGGAAUCUGUGUUUGAUGUUCUGCCAUCCAUCGAAUGCUCUGAAACACCAAGGCUGCUGAGCCCAAGACUUAUCCUUAAGGAACGUUUGUAUUUCCGAGCGGCAGGUGCACAUGCAGAGCAGACUGUUGUAAGACUUGGCACGGUUUGGUGGUGGUUUAUGGGCCAGAUCCUCAGAUGGUGUAAAUGACUUCAGGGGAGCUACACGGAUUUGGAGAUCUGGCCUUAUGUCCCCGUUUGAUGAGAAAUGCAAGCAUCUCACAUGAAGGAGAUAAGGAUCUUGCAUGUAAGCUGAUGCUUUCAUGAAAUCUUGAGCAACUGAUUCUUGUAACUCCCAUGUGUGCUCCUUGCACCUUGGCGGAGGUGGGUCAUAGGGAUUUCAUACGCUGGAACCUCACAUGAUUACAUUUAAUGGAUUGAAAUAUCUCGCUUCCUUUGGAUUCUGCUGCCUAGGUAUUAUUAUGCUAGACCCCUUCAUUCAGGAGCCGGAAGCAAUCUGCUACAGCCAGGAAAGCCCCUCAAGGUCAUGUCCUUUAAAGAUCUUGGGACAGAUCCUCAUCUGGCAUAGGUGGACACAGCUGCAAUGACCUAAACAGCGCUACUUCCAUUUACUUCAGCUGAGGAUCUGGCCCAUAAUAUGUCAAUACAAGAUAAAUUAAGAUAAAUCACAUGACUUUGUAGCCCAAGCACGUAGCUGCUUUCUGACAACAUGGACUAAGGUCCUUAUGACUCAUGCUGGUUGAAACUUUUCAAAGCUUAAUGACAUUUUCAGGAGGGAAAGGAGAAAACAUUAAAUUGUCAUGAAGUCCCUCUCAUAUUUUUGACCAGCUCAAAUCAUGUUACAGAGAUGACACCGAUAUAUCAAAUUCCUUCUCCUGUCUGUCGCUUUCACUUAUGUGUAUAGAUAUGAAAGCUAUAUAUUUCUGUGUUUCUAUCCCCUGAGAUUUUUAGUGACUCUUACCUUCCCUGGUAACUUCCCACUCCUUAAAGAGAAUAAAACUCAUUAGAUCAAUCUAGAAAAGAUGAAGGUCUGAAUUAAUUCCCGUUGCAAUGGGGGCUUGUCUAAACAAGGAAGUUAGUGCUUAGUAAGCUAGGAUGUGGAUUGAAAGCGCACUAGCUACUCUGCAUUAACUCACCAUGUGGACACUCUUUCAGCACCCUCGGGCGGUUUAGCUUAAUGCACUGCCAAAAUGUAUUAAGUUAAUGCACACAAAGACUAGUGUGCACCAGCUAUUGCGAGCCUUUUCCCCAUCUAGGCUAGCCCUUAGCCUCUAC
Molecule: long non-coding RNA, 1425 nt
Organism: Chelonia mydas (Green sea turtle)
Lineage: Eukaryota; Metazoa; Chordata; Testudines; Cheloniidae
Exons: 3
Source: RefSeq, a predicted model, not a curated record